ACUCCUACGGGAGGCAGCAGUGGGGAAUAUUGCACAAUGGGGGAAACCCUGAUGCAGCCAUGCCGCGUGUGUGAAGAAGGCCUUCGGGUUGUAAAGCACUUUCAGUAGGGAGGAAAGGGUGAGUCUUAAUACGGCUCAUCUGUGACGUUACCUACAGAAGAAGGACCGGCUAACUCCGUGCCAGCAGCCGCGGUAAUACGGAGGGUCCGAGCGUUAAUCGGAAUUACUGGGCGUAAAGCGUGCGCAGGCGGUUUGUUAAGCGAGAUGUGAAAGCCCUGGGCUCAACCUAGGAAUAGCAUUUCGAACUGGCGAACUAGAGUCUUGUAGAGGGGGGUAGAAUUCCAGGUGUAGCGGUGAAAUGCGUAGAGAUCUGGAGGAAUACCGGUGGCGAAGGCGGCCCCCUGGACAAAGACUGACGCUCAUGCACGAAAGCGUGGGGAGCAAACAGGAUUAGAUACCCUGGUAGUCCACGCCGUAAACGAUGUCUACUCGGAGUUUGGUGUCUUGAACACUGGGCUCUCAAGCUAACGCAUUAAGUAGACCGCCUGGGGAGUACGGCCGCAAGGUUAAAACUCAAAUGAAUUGACGGGGGCCCGCACAAGCGGUGGAGCAUGUGGUUUAAUUCGAUGCAACGCGAAGAACCUUACCUACUC
RNAcentral lists this ribosomal RNA (653 nucleotides) under uncultured Shewanella sp. Its description in RNAcentral is "bacterial SSU rRNA". It matches the Rfam family "Bacterial small subunit ribosomal RNA", at positions 335 to 980 of the family's 1533-position model. Lineage: Bacteria; Pseudomonadati; Pseudomonadota; Gammaproteobacteria; Alteromonadales; Shewanellaceae. The record is from RNAcentral.